UAUACUGCAGUCGAGCGAACAGAAGGGAGCUUGCUCCCGGAUGUUAGCGGCGGACGGGUGAGUAACACGUGGGUAACCUGCCUGUAAGACUGGGAUAACUCCGGGAAACCGGAGCUAAUACCGGAUAGUUCCUUGAACCGCAUGGUUCAAGGAUGAAAGACGGUUUCGGCUGUCACUUACAGAUGGACCCGCGGCGCAUUAGCUAGUUGGUGGGGUAAUGGCUCACCAAGGCGACGAUGCGUAGCCGACCUGAGAGGGUGAUCGGCCACACUGGGACUGAGACACGGCCCAGACUCCUACGGGAGGCAGCAGUAGGGAAUCUUCCGCAAUGGACGAAAGUCUGACGGAGCAACGCCGCGUGAGUGAUGAAGGUUUUCGGAUCGUAAAGCUCUGUUGUUAGGGAAGAACAAGUGCGAGAGUAACUGCUCGCACCUUGACGGUACCUAACCAGAAAGCCACGGCUAACUACGUGCCAGCAGCCGCGGUAAUACGUAGGUGGCAAGCGUUGUCCGGAAUUAUUGGGCGUAAAGGGCUCGCAGGCGGUUUCUUAAGUCUGAUGUGAAAGCCCCCGGCUCAACCGGGGAGGGUCAUUGGAAACUGGGAAACUUGAGUGCAGAAGAGGAGAGUGGAAUUCCACGUGUAGCGGUGAAAUGCGUANNGAUGUGGAGGAACACCAGUGGCGAAGGCGNCUCUCUGGUCUGUAACUGACGCUGAGGAGCGAAAGCGUGGGGAGCGAACA
This 739-nucleotide ribosomal RNA is filed under the name bacterium 22C12_green. RNAcentral describes it as "bacterial SSU rRNA". It matches the Rfam family "Bacterial small subunit ribosomal RNA", at positions 50 to 774 of the family's 1533-position model. The record is from RNAcentral.